This 3522-nucleotide ribosomal RNA is filed under the name Hirsutella rhossiliensis. RNAcentral describes it as "large subunit ribosomal RNA". It matches the Rfam family "Bacterial large subunit ribosomal RNA". The record is from RNAcentral. Lineage: Eukaryota; Fungi; Ascomycota; Sordariomycetes; Hypocreales; Ophiocordycipitaceae.
UAAACGAAGUGAAUUGAAAUAUCUUAGUAACUUCAGGAAAAUAAAUCAAAAGAGAUUCUAUGAAUAACGUGAGUGAAAGUAGAGUAGCCUAUAAAGUAGAACGGUACAAAAACUGUUUGAAUAAAAUGGGGAACCUUCCUCAAAGGCUAAAUAUGAUACAUGAGCGAUAGUGAAAAGUACCAUGAGGGAACUAAACGAAAAUAGUAGUUUUAUAAGCAGUUCGAUAAAAAGAACGUACCUUUUGCAUAAUGGGUCACCAAGUUAACGUUAGAUGCGAGUAUAUGCGUAGUUAAACCGGACGUUAAAAUAACGAAACAGUGUCUAAAGUUAGACCCGAAGCACGGUGAUUUUACCAUAGUCAGGAUUAUAAAAGUCCGAACGGGUGAUUGUAGCAUAAAUCUCCGAAGAACUGUGGUAGGUGUAGUGAAAGACAACACUGACUGUGAUAGCUGGUUUUCUGCGAAACCUAUAAUAGUAGGCAAUUUAAGUAAAUAUCUUAGCAGGUACAUAAUUUAAUCUCAGACAAGAUGUGUAAACGUUUUAUUUUGUACAAAUUGGGGGAUCAUGAAGAUUUUAUCAGUGAGUAUGUAGACUCGAAAUGGCAAAGAUAUAUCUUGAAUUAUCAGACAUAGAAUGAUAAGGUUGUAUGUCAAAAGGGAAACAGCCCAGAACAAGAGUUAAGGUUCCUAAAUUAUUAGUUGAGUGAAAUUAAGAAGGUUUUUAUUAAAGUCGACAAGGAGAUAGGCUUAGAAGCAGCCAUAAUUUUAUGACCUCGUAACAGAGCGCUUGUUAAGCUAUAGAAGCAUCGAAAAUUUAACGGAUCUAAACAAUAUACCGAAACCUUGUGCAUGAACGUUUCAUAGGAGAUUACUUACAUAAACACAAUUACAAUCAGAGGGUGAGUUGUGUUAAAGACACUACGACAAUCAUAGUUGUGUAAAUAAAGAUUUUAUGUAAUUAGUUCUAUUAAAAUCAUUUAAUGAAAAAGUUCUAUUAAUAACAUCUAAUACUAGUAUUAAUACUCAACAGUUAUAGUAUUAAUUUUCAACACAGUUAUAAUUGUAUUAAUUCUUGAGUUAUAAUAUUAUUAAUGCUUUUCUAAUAAUAAUUAUGCUCUUCUAAUAGUAUUAAUACUGAACAGUUAUAAUAGUAUUGAUGCUCAACAGUUCUAGUAUUAAUAUUUAAUAGAAUUAGUUCUAUUAACAAUAUUUAAUACAGGCGCAAGCUCAGUUUAAAUAUCGUUAAAUGUAUUUACAAUAUAAUAUGUCUAAUUUAAAUGUAUUAGAAUAUACUUAAAUGUUAGUAGAUAGGGCGUUUGGGGUAGCAGAACGUUGAGUAAAUAAUGAAUUUUAUUUUUUUUAAUAGAAUUAUAAUAAUUUAACUCAAGUGAGAAUGGUGACAUGAGUAACUAAAAGAAAAUUUUCCGCCUUAAGCUUAUGGAUAUAAUUAAGUAACGGCCUCUAAGUUUAUAUUAUCUAAAGAUUUAAACGAUGAGAAAAUCUUUUUUACUAAGGACAACAUUUUAGUGUAAAAUGUGCUGGAAAAAUAGUAAAUAUAUUUGCGGGGCUCCGCCCACUAAUAACAAAAUAUAUUUGUUAUCUAAGAAUAAAUGAAUAAAACCGUACCUAGAAUCUGAAAAAAGUAAGCUAGUAGAGAAUACGAAGGCGUAAAUGAGCUAACAAUCAUAAAGGAACUCGGCAAAUUGACUACCGUAACUUCGGAAUAAGGAGGGCUCAAUUCUUGAUUAAUAUCAAGUAAAAAGGAAGAAGCAUAAAAUGAUGUUGUACGACUGUUUAAUUAAAACACAGCACUUUGCUGAAAGAUAAAAAAUCUAAGUAUAAAGUGUGAAAUCUGCCCGGUGCCGGCUUUGGUUAACAGAGAUAAUUAAAUAUACUAUUAUUUGAUGUCGACGGAAACCCCGGUUAAAGGCGGCCUUAACGUGAGGGUCCUAAGGUAGCGAAAUGCCUUGGCCGUUAAAUGCGGUCUUGCAUGAAUGGUGUAACGAUACAACAGCUGUCUCUAUGAUUGACUCAGUGAAAUUGGAAUAGCUGUGCAGAUACAGCUUACCUCUAGUUAGACGAGAAGACCCUAUGCAGCUUUACUGUCACUAAUUAUAGAGUAUGUUAGAGAAUUUUCAGAUUAUAAGGUAAUUGACAAUGUGACAAUGAGAAUCCUUUAUUUAUCUUUCAUAUGAAUGAAUUGGUUUAGGAUUAUAAAAAAGUUAUGUUUAAUCUGGCUUUACUGAGUCGUUUAAAAAGAUUAAUUAUAGAAACAAUAUAAUUUAUAAUAGUAAAUCAACCUAAUUCAGUUUACUAUUUUUAAUAGUAAGUGACCUUUGGUAAGGAACUAUCGCUAGGAGACAGUUUAUGUGGGGCACAGACCCUGUAAAGAGUAAACAGGAGUGUCUAAUAAUUUAUAAUUAUUUUGUUUGCUAUUUUGAGUAGUUUAACUAUUUUUAAUCAUAUAUAAUUAUUUAUAUUUGCGUAUAUUUACGUAAAUAUACUUAAGUUUAAUUUAGGUAGGAUUUUAACUAUGUAGAAAUUAGAGAUAAUUGAAAAUAUUAUGUAAAUUUUAUUAAUAUUAUGUAAUUAUAAGAAGCUUUUAGAUGGAAUUUAGUGGCUUAAAAAAUAUAUUUUUUUUUUUAGCUCACGAUAUAAGAUAUAAAAAUUUUUAUUGUAAUCUAAAAUCUACUCUAGCGCAAACUCUUGUGAAGAUUUAUAUUGUAAUAUAAAAUCUAUUCAGGCGCCAGGCGCAAGCUCUUAUGGAAUUUUGCUAAUAUUCUUCAAAUUUUCUAAUAUUUUAGAGCUGUUUUUUUUUAUCUUGCUGUUGCUUUGCGCUUCGCUAUUUUUUGCGCUGCGCGAAAAUGCUGCUUGAGAAAAAGGAAUAGUUAUGUUUUGAAUAUCUAAAAAGCUCAACGGCUAAAUCUUGCCUUACUGUUUGAUUAUCUACAAAUCUUACAGUUGCGUAAGCAGGGCAUAGGAUCACAAGAUGCAAUAAGGAUAGAUCUUGGAUUAUUGGAAAAGCUACGCUAGGGAUGAACAGGCUAAUUUGCGCAAGAGUGUACAAAAUGAGUGCGCGGUUUGGCACCUCGAUGUCGGCUUAACUUAUCCUCAUGGACGCAGGAACUAUGUAGGGUGCGACUGUUCGUCGAUUAAAAAGUUACAUGAGCUGGGUUAAAUACGUCGUGAGACAGUAUGGUUUCUAUCUUCUAGAGGGAAUUAGAAUAAAAUAAGAACAAACUUUUGUACGCAAGGAACAAGAAGAAUUUAACUCAAAAAGUUAAAAGAUGGUUACUAACCUAUGGUUUACCUGUUGUUUAUGUGCCUAAAUAUUAAAUAUAUAUAUGCUUUUGUAUAUAUAUAUCUUUUGUAUUAUUAUACAUAGGGAUGUUUCUUUUACUAAGACAAAUGUAUAGCAUAAGCACGGCAGGAACGCUAAGUUAGUUAAAGAUAAGUGCUGAAAGCAUAUAGGCACGAAACUUAUCUUAAGAUAUUUCUUAAAUAUACGUAACAUACUAUUACG